This 253-nucleotide ribosomal RNA is filed under the name uncultured bacterium. RNAcentral's name for it is "partial 16S ribosomal RNA". It matches the Rfam family "Bacterial small subunit ribosomal RNA", at positions 524 to 776 of the family's 1533-position model. The record is from RNAcentral.
UACGUAGGAUGCAAGCGUUGUCCGGAAUUAUUGGGCGUAAAGAGCGCGCAGGCGGUAUGACAAGUCAGAUGUGAAAGAGGCCGGCUUAACCGGCAAGGGUCAUUUGAAACUGUCAGACUAGAGUGCAGCAGAGGAUAGUGGAAUUCCCGGUGUAGUGGUGAAAUGCGUAGAUAUCGGGAGGAACACCAGUGGCGAAGGCGACUAUCUGGGCUGCAACUGACGCUGAGGCGCGAAAGCGUGGGGAGCAAACAGG